RNAcentral lists this ribosomal RNA (448 nucleotides) under uncultured bacterium. RNAcentral describes it as "bacterial SSU rRNA". It matches the Rfam family "Bacterial small subunit ribosomal RNA", at positions 328 to 793 of the family's 1533-position model. The record is from RNAcentral.
UGGCCAGACUCCUACGGGAGGCAGCAGUGGGGGAUAUUGGACAAUGGGGGGAACCCUGAUCCAGCGAUGCCGCGUGAGGGAAGAAGGUUUUCGGAUUGUAGACCUCUGUGGACAGGGACGAUAAUGACGGUACCUGUCAAGAAAGCCACGGCUAACUACGUGCCAGCAGCCGCGGCAAUACGUAGGUGGCGAGCGUUGUCCGGAAUUACUGGGUGUAAAGGGAGUGUAGGCGGGAGUGCAAGUCAGAUGUGAAAACUAUGGGCUCAACCCAUAGCCUGCAUUUGAAACUGUACUUCUUGAGUGCUGGAGAGGCAAUCGGAAUUCCGUGUGUAGCGGUGAAAUGCGUAGAUAUACGGAGGAACACCAGUGGCGAAGGCGGAUUGCUGGACAGUAACUGACGCUGAGGCGCGAAAGCGUGGGGAGCAAACAGGAUUAGAUACCCCGGUAC